AACACUAAAAAAGGAAAUGUGGAAUUCGAACUCAAGUUCUCCCACAAUCACUUUACUCACCCUUGCUUUACUACCCCAGGUCAUUACACUCAUUCAAAAUGUAAUGACAUAUCUAAAUAUUUAAAUAAAAACACAAAAUCUUAAUGAUAUUAGAAAAUAAUAUAAUAAUUUUAAUACUCAUAUAGUUAAUUAAAAUAUAAACACUAACUAAAAUACUUUCAUAGUCAAUAAUAACUAA
Molecule: long non-coding RNA, 238 nt
Filed under: Lathyrus oleraceus (garden pea)
Lineage: Eukaryota; Viridiplantae; Streptophyta; Magnoliopsida; Fabales; Fabaceae
Description: Pisum sativum (pea) long non-coding RNA (PSAT_LNC002361)
Source: RNAcentral